AUUGAACGCUGGCGGCAGGCCUAACACAUGCAAGUCGAGCGGAUGAAGGGAGCUUGCUCCUGGAUUCAGCGGCGGACGGGUGAGUAAUGCCUAGGAAUCUGCCUGGUAGUGGGGGAUAACGUCCGGAAACGGGCGCUAAUACCGCAUACGUCCUGAGGGAGAAAGUGGGGGAUCUUCGGACCUCACGCUAUCAGGUGAGCCUAGGUCGGAUUAGCUAGUUGGUGGGGUAAAGGCCUACCAAGGCGACGAUCCGUAACUGGUCUGAGAGGAUGAUCAGUCACACUGGAACUGAGACACGGUCCAGACUCCUACGGGAGGCAGCAGUGGGGAAUAUUGGACAAUGGGCGAAAGCCUGAUCCAGCCAUGCCGCGUGUGUGAAGAAGGUCUUCGGAUUGUAAAGCACUUUAAGUUGGGAGGAAGAGCAGUAAGUUAAUACCUUGCUGUUUUGACGUUACCAACAGAAUAAGCACCGGCUAACUUCGUG
RNAcentral lists this ribosomal RNA (484 nucleotides) under uncultured bacterium. Its description in RNAcentral is "partial 16S ribosomal RNA". It matches the Rfam family "Bacterial small subunit ribosomal RNA", at positions 30 to 507 of the family's 1533-position model. The record is from RNAcentral.